This 253-nucleotide ribosomal RNA is filed under the name uncultured bacterium. Its description in RNAcentral is "partial 16S ribosomal RNA". It matches the Rfam family "Bacterial small subunit ribosomal RNA", at positions 524 to 776 of the family's 1533-position model. The record is from RNAcentral.
UACGUAGGUGGCAAGCGUUGUCCGGAUUUAUUGGGCGUAAAGCGUGCGCAGGCGGUUGUGUAAGACAGAUGUGAAAUCCCCGGGCUCAACCUGGGAACUGCAUUUGUGACUGCACAGCUGGAGUGCGGCAGAGGGAGAUGGAAUUCCGCGUGUAGCAGUGAAAUGCGUAGAUAUGCGGAGGAACACCGAUGGCGAAGGCAAUCCCCUGGGCCUGCACUGACGCUCAUGCACGAAAGCGUGGGGAGCAAACAGG